AGGACGAACGCUGGCGGCGUGCUUAACACAUGCAAGUCGAGCGGAAAGGCCCUUCGGGGUACUCGAGCGGCGAACGGGUGAGUAACACGUGAGCAACCUGCCCUUAGCUCCGGGAUAGCUCCGGGAAACCGGAAUUAAUACCGGAUACGACCACGGCCGACAUCUGCUGUGGUGGAAAGGAUUCCGGGCUAAGGAUGGGCUCGCGGCCUAUCAGCCUAGUUGGUGGAGUAACGGCCCACCAAGGCGACGACGGGUA
Molecule: ribosomal RNA, 256 nt
Filed under: uncultured bacterium
Lineage: Bacteria
Description: partial small subunit ribosomal RNA
Rfam family: Bacterial small subunit ribosomal RNA
Source: RNAcentral